RNAcentral lists this ribosomal RNA (253 nucleotides) under uncultured bacterium. RNAcentral describes it as "partial 16S ribosomal RNA". It matches the Rfam family "Bacterial small subunit ribosomal RNA", at positions 524 to 776 of the family's 1533-position model. The record is from RNAcentral.
UACAGAGGUCUCAAGCGUUGUUCGGAUUCAUUGGGCGUAAAGGGCUCGUAGGUGGCCAACUAAGUCAGACGUGAAAUCCCUCAGCUUAACUGGGGAACUGCGUCUGAUACUGGAUGGCUUGAGUUUGGGAGAGGGAUGCGGAAUUCCAGGUGUAGCGGUGAAAUGCGUAGAUAUCUGGAGGAACACCGGUGGCGAAGGCGGCAUCCUGGACCAAUACUGACACUGAGGAGCGAAAGCCAGGGGAGCAAACGGG